This 514-nucleotide ribosomal RNA is filed under the name uncultured bacterium. RNAcentral's name for it is "bacterial SSU rRNA". It matches the Rfam family "Bacterial small subunit ribosomal RNA", at positions 8 to 518 of the family's 1533-position model. The record is from RNAcentral.
AGAGUUUGAUUAUGGCUCAGGAUGAACGCUAGCUACAGGCUUAACACAUGCAAGUCGAGGGGUAGCAGGGUAGCAAUACCGCUGACGACCGGCGCACGGGUGAGUAACACGUAUCCAACCUUCCCAUAACUCAGGGAUAGCCUUUCGAAAGAAAGAUUAAUACCUGAUAGUACUUUUUCAAGGCAUCUUGAAAAAGUUAAAGAUUUAUUGGUUAUGGAUGGGGAUGCGUUCCAUUAGAUAGUUGGUGAGGUAACGGCUCACCAAGUCUUCGAUGGAUAGGGGUUCUGAGAGGAAGGUCCCCCACAUUGGUACUGAGACACGGACCAAACUCCUACGGGAGGCAGCAGUGAGGAAUAUUGGUCAAUGGGCGAGAGCCUGAACCAGCCAAGUAGCGUGAAGGAAUGAAGGUCCUAUGGAUUGUAAACUUCUUUUAUAGUAGAAUAAAGUGAGCCACGUGUGGUUUUUUGUAUGCAUACUAUGAAUAAGGAUCGGCUAACUCCGUGCCAGCCGCCGC